AAUCCUCUGCCGCCGGGUAGAGGGGAUUGCACCAGACUUCAUAUCGUUAGGCCGUUGAAGAUAUGAAGUUCUGGUGUAUUUUUAUU
Molecule: non-coding RNA, 86 nt
Filed under: unclassified sequences
Source: RNAcentral